Molecule: ribosomal RNA, 520 nt
Filed under: uncultured Glomus
Lineage: Eukaryota; Fungi; Glomeromycota; Glomeromycetes; Glomerales; Glomeraceae
Description: SSU rRNA
Rfam family: Eukaryotic small subunit ribosomal RNA
Source: RNAcentral
AGCAGCCGCGGUAAUUCCAGCUCCAACAGCGUAUAUUAAAGUUGUUGCAGUUAAAAAGCUCGUAGUUGAAUUUCGGGGUUAGUAGGUUGGUCAUGCCUCUGGUAUGUACUAGUCUCACUGAUUCCUCCUUCCUGAUGAACCGUAAUGCCAUUAAUUUGGUGUUGCGGGGAAUUUGGACUGUUACUUUGAAAAAAUUAGAGUGUUUAAAGCAAGCUAACGCUUGAAUACAUUAGCAUGGAAUAAUGAAAUAGGACGUUCGAUCCUAUUUUGUUGGUUUCUAGGAUUGACGUAAUGAUUAAUAGGGAUAGUUGGGGGCAUUAGUAUUCAAUUGUCAGAGGUGAAAUUCUUGGAUUUAUUGAAGACUAACUACUGCGAAAGCAUUUGCCAAGGAUGUUUUCAUUAAUCAAGAACGAAAGUUAGGGGAUCGAAGACGAUCAGAUACCGUCGUAGUCUUAACCAUAAACUAUGCCGACUAGGGAUCGGAUGAUGUUAAUUUUUAAUGACUCAUUCGGCGCCUUAA